Long non-coding RNA from Mangifera indica (mango), 514 nucleotides. RefSeq lists it as uncharacterized. The record is from RefSeq and is a predicted model, not a curated record. Lineage: Eukaryota; Viridiplantae; Streptophyta; Magnoliopsida; Sapindales; Anacardiaceae. The transcript has 2 exons.
CAAAACAUGGAAGUCGUCAAAAUCUGGUUAGCUCUGACGACAUGUUUAUUAUUGCUCGUCUAUUCUGAAGCUGCCGCUUGUGACAAGAAAGAACUUGUGGUUGGAGGCAAUGAAACUUCAUGGACCAUUCCACCAUCCAAUAAUUCUUUCAGUGAAUGGGCAGACACAAUUGACGAGUUCAUAAUGCUCGAUACUCUCGUUUUCAGAUACGAUAACAAGACUGAUUCAAUACUUGAAGUAAGCGAGUUGGACUACGAAACCUGUGAAAAAUCUAGACCCAUAAAAGAAUACAGAGAUGGUACACCGCCAUUGAAUUAGAGAGCUUGGGAAAUUUCUUCUUCAUAAGUGGAGCUCAAGGACACUGUCAGAAAGGACAGAAAGUAAAAAUAAGAGUCGUACCUCACUUGUAUUGUUACUGGAGGUACAGAUGGCUCCACAAGUAUUAUUAGAGAUUUAUAUUAAAGAUUUGUCAUAAACCUAAUUUUUUAUAUUAUAUAUUUAUCAUAUUUUAGUA